AUGAAACCCCGCCACUCGUCUGCCAGCGCCAGGUGAAGGACUCACGUCGCAGCGUCCCAGCACAGAACAACAUCGCGGCUGCUUGAGACAACAGGAUCUUAUUGGUGCCAUCAAGCCCGGAUCAACUACAGCCGCAAUUUUCAAGUUAAGUACUAAUGUGUCUUAUGGGGUUAAAAUGGUAACAUCUUACAGAUAUGGACUGGGACUAACUUGUCAUAGGCACGAUAGAAAGUAAAUGAAUUGAGUGUGUUUUAUUGACAUACCGAGGGAUGUUUCUGGUAGAUAUUCGGACGUGCAUUUUGUAAACGGAGGCUCUUUUUGCAGCCAAGGCUUCAGUCCGUUUCCGUGGUGUACAUGCCUGGUGUGUGGCUGAUUUUUGUUUCUGUUGGUUUCUGUGACUGUUGAUGACCGGAUUGUAUUCGGUCAGUUAUUGUGCGUAAAUUCUGUUCUUUACAAAACAGGGUCUUCCUUGGUUCACCAUCUGUUGUAAUUUCUGUUUUAUGUCGUGGUCAGUGGUUGUCGGGAACCUGGACCAUUACAUAAUCUGCUUUGUGUUGCUCUCUUGGGUCCCGAACCAAGAGAACAACACAGGCCAGAAAGGACGACAUGUGGUUGAAGAACCUAUUUGAUAUUAGUAGUCAAUUCCUGUAGAAUAGUCGACUUCUCGACGUAGACACAGUCACAGAAACCGAAUCAGCCAUACAUCGGGCUUGUAUACCACAGAAACAGACUGAAGCAGCCAUAGCUUCUCGAAAUUUAAACCGAAACAAACGUCAACAUUACUUGGGAUUUCAUCAAAGCACACUCAAUCGUUACUACACAUAAAUUCAUCCCACUUUAUCCACGAUAAACCUAGAACGGAAAUUCUAAUCACAAACCAAGUUAACUUUCUGUACUUUAACUUACGUGUAAGGUAUAUUUCCUAUAUGUUUGAGCCAAAAUAAUUCAUUUUCGUCUCGUCUUUUCUACCGAGGAUCAUCGCACCGUAAGAAGAAAUGUCCGGACGUGGAAAGGGAGGCGACGACUGGCGAAGGAAGGUACCGGACGUGACCGAAUGUAGAUUCGCAGUCUUCCAACACAUGACAAGGAGCUUAUCGGUGCCAUCAUUCCCGGAUCAACUGCAGCUACAAGGUUCAAGUUAAGUACUAAUGUGUCUUAUGGGGUUAAAAUGGUAACAUCUUGCAGAUAUGGACUGGGACUAACUUGUCAUAGGCACGAUAGAAAGUAAAUGAAUUGAGUGUGUUUUGUUGACAUACCAAGGGAUGUUUCUGGUAGAUAUUCGGACGUGCAUUUUGUAAACGGGAGGCUCUUUUUGCAGUUAAGGCUUCAGUCUGUUUCCGUGGUGUACAUGCCUGGUGUGUGGCUGAUUUUUGUUUCUGUUGGUUCCUGUGACUGUUGAUGACCGGAUUGUAUUCGGUCAGUUAUUGUGCGUAAAUUCUGUUAUUUACAAAACAGGGUCUUCCCUGGGUCACCAUCUGUUGUAAUUUCUGUUUUAUGUCGUGGUCAGUGGUUGUCGGGAACCUAGACCA
This is a long non-coding RNA of Branchiostoma floridae (Florida lancelet), 1529 nucleotides long. RefSeq lists it as uncharacterized. The record is from RefSeq and is a predicted model, not a curated record. The transcript is spliced from 3 exons. NCBI's taxonomy places the organism in Eukaryota, Metazoa, Chordata, Leptocardii, Amphioxiformes, Branchiostomatidae.